This is a non-coding RNA of Cinara cedri, 241 nucleotides long. The record is from the annotation of a GenBank genome assembly. Lineage: Eukaryota; Metazoa; Arthropoda; Insecta; Hemiptera; Aphididae.
GCACGGCGUUGAGGGCUAGGCGUACAGUUCGGUGAUUAAAGACCGAUCGGUUAAAACCGACGGUGAAAAUUGUAAUCAUCGGUUACGACCGCGAGUGUUAGGCUUCUGUGAUUUAUAGAUUGGCGAAUCGCAAAGUAGUUAUCGAUUUGUUUAAAAGGUCGACGCUUAUUUACGUGUCGUUGUUGAAUAAGUUCAGUGCCGUCGAGUAUCGAUAUUAAGAUAUCAAAAAUAAAAUAAAAUA